RNAcentral lists this ribosomal RNA (485 nucleotides) under uncultured bacterium. RNAcentral's name for it is "partial 16S ribosomal RNA". It matches the Rfam family "Bacterial small subunit ribosomal RNA", at positions 28 to 523 of the family's 1533-position model. The record is from RNAcentral.
GACGAACGCUGGCGGCGUGCUUAACACAUGCAAGUCGAACGGUGAAAGCGGAGCUUGCUCCGCUGGAUCAGUGGCGAACGGGUGAGUAACACGUGGGCAACCUGCCCUCCACUUCGGGAUAACUCCGGGAAACCGGGGCUAAUACCGGAUAUGACCUCUUCGGGCAUCCGCGGAGGGGGAAAGUUUUUCGGUGAAGGAUGGGGCCGCGGCCUAUCAGCUUGUUGGGGCGGUAGUGGCUCACCAAGGCGACGACGGGUAGCCGGCCUGAGAGGGCGACCGGCCACACUAGGACUGAGACACGGCCGAGACUCCUACGGGAGGCAGGAGUGGGGAAUAUUGCGCAAUGGGCGAAAGCCUGACGCAGCGACGCCGCGUGCGGGAUGACGGCCUUCGGGUUGUAAACCGCUUUCAGCAGGGAAGAAGCCGCAAGGUGACGGUACCUGCAGAAGAAGCACCGGCUAACUACGUGCCAGCCGCCGCAGUAA